Molecule: long non-coding RNA, 547 nt
Filed under: Trifolium pratense (red clover)
Lineage: Eukaryota; Viridiplantae; Streptophyta; Magnoliopsida; Fabales; Fabaceae
Description: long non-coding RNA (TPRA_LNC014133)
Source: RNAcentral
UCCAAUAGUCUUAAAAAAAACAUUCUCCAAUAAAAAAAGGAGGAAAAAUAAACAUUUUUCAAGAUUAUCAUAAGUAUUUACACAAGCAAUUUAGUGAGGAAAAGACUCACAACACAAGAUGAACACUCAACUCAAAAGUCAAAACAAUGUAAAUUUGGCAAACCUCAUCCAAACAUAACAUGUGAAACCGCACGUACAAAAAAACAUGUCCAUGUGAAAAUCGCUUCUAGUACAAAACAAAACCUUAAAAAUCAAACGUGUGCUUCUGAAAUCUACAGAAAAAUAAAACACUCCAAAGAAACAUGCGGAUUCAUAAUUGACUCCUCCAUUAAAACGCCGUCGUUUCUCUCCACAACAACCUCCUCAUUCUCACACUUACCCGGCGGCGGAAACCUCCGGCCGGCUCUAUCCAUCUGCCGGAGCUCACUCCGACAAGUAUUACUACUACCAACCGUUUUCUGACACGACGGCGACCUCGAUCGCCGGCGGAUACCCUCGCCGGAGUCACGGCGGACCUUAUCGGAAAAUUCCCUCCGGCGAUCUAACC